RNAcentral lists this ribosomal RNA (399 nucleotides) under uncultured bacterium. RNAcentral describes it as "bacterial SSU rRNA". It matches the Rfam family "Bacterial small subunit ribosomal RNA", at positions 356 to 773 of the family's 1533-position model. The record is from RNAcentral.
GGGGAAUAUUGGACAAUGGGCGCAAGCCUGAUCCAGCCAUGCCGCGUGAGUGAUGAAGGCCUAGGGUUGUAAAGCUCUUUCAGUGGGGAAGAUAAUGACGGUACCCACAGAAGAAGCCCCGGCUAACUUCGUGCCAGCAGCCGCGGUAAUACGAAGGGGGCUAGCGUUGUUCGGAUUUACUGGGCGUAAAGCGCACGUAGGCGGAUUGGUCAGUUAGAGGUGAAAUCCCGAAGCUCAACUUCGGAACUGCCUUUAAUACUGCCAGUCUAGAGUCCGGAAGAGGUAAGUGGAACUCCUAGUGUAGAGGUGGAAUUCGUAGAUAUUAGGAAGAACACCAGUGGCGAAGGCGGCUUACUGGUCCGGUACUGACGCUGAGGUGCGAAAGCGUGGGGAGCAAAC